UGCUCCUAGUACGAGAGGACCGGAGUGGACGCAUCACUGGUGUUCGGGUUGUCAUGCCAAUGGCAUUGCCCGGUAGCUAAAUGCGGAAGAGAUAAGUGCUGAAAGCAUCUAAGCACGAAACUUGCCCCGAGAUGAGUUCUCCCUGACUCCUUGAGAGUCCUGAAGGAACGUUGAAGACGACGACGUUGAUAGGCCGGGUGUGUAAGCGCAGCGAUGCGUUGAGCUAACCGGUACUAAUGAACCGUGAGGCUUAACCUU
Molecule: ribosomal RNA, 258 nt
Filed under: Escherichia coli
Lineage: Bacteria; Pseudomonadati; Pseudomonadota; Gammaproteobacteria; Enterobacterales; Enterobacteriaceae
Description: partial 23S ribosomal RNA
Rfam family: Bacterial large subunit ribosomal RNA
Source: RNAcentral